GAUGAACGCUGGCGGCGUGCCUAAUACAUGCAAGUCGAGCGAACAGACGAGGUGCUUGCUCCUCUGACGUUAGCGGCGCACGGGUGAGUAACACGUGGAUAACCUACCUAUCAGACUGGGAUAACUUCGGGAAACCGGAGCUAAUACCGGAUAAUAUAUUGAACCGCAUGGUUCAAUAGUGACAGACGGUUUUGCUGUCACUUAUAGAUCGUUCCGGGCCGCAUUAGAGAGUUGGUAAGGUAACGGCUUACCAAGACAACGAUGCGUAGCCGAACUGAGAGGGUGAUCAGCCACACUGGAACUGAGACAAGGUCCAGACUCGUACGGGAGGCAGCAGUAGGGAAUCUUCCGCAAUGGGCGAAAGCGUGACGGAGCAACGCCGCGUGAGUGAUGAAGGUCUUCGGAGCGUAAAACUCGGUUAUUAGGGAAGAACAAAUGUGUAAGUAACUAUGCACGUCUUGACGGUACCUAAUGAGAAAGCCACGGCUAACUACGUG
RNAcentral lists this ribosomal RNA (497 nucleotides) under uncultured bacterium. RNAcentral describes it as "partial 16S ribosomal RNA". It matches the Rfam family "Bacterial small subunit ribosomal RNA", at positions 28 to 507 of the family's 1533-position model. The record is from RNAcentral.